GACGAACGCUGGCGGCGUGCCUAACACAUGCAAGUCGAACGGAACUGUUUUGAAAGAUUUCUUCGGAAUGAAUUUGAUUUAGUUUAGUGGCGGACGGGUGAGUAACUCGUGAGUAACCUGCCUUCAAGAGGGGAAUAACAUUCUGAAAAGAAUGCUAAUACCGCAUGACAUAUCGGAACCACAUGGUUUUGAUAUCAAAGAUUUUAUCGCUUGAAGAUGGACUCGCGUCCGAUUAGUUAGUUGGUGAGGUAACGGCUCACCAAGACCGCGAUCGGUAGCCGGACUGAGAGGUUGAACGGCCACAUUGGGACUGAGACACGGACCAGACUCCUACGGGAGGCAGCAGUGGGGGAUAUUGCGCAAUGGGGGCAACCCUGACGCAGCAACGCCGCGUGAAGGAUGAAGGUUGUCGGAUUGUAAACUUCUUUUAUUAAGGACGAAAAAUGACGGUACUUAAUGAAUAAGCUCCGGCUAACUACGUG
This 482-nucleotide ribosomal RNA is filed under the name uncultured bacterium. RNAcentral describes it as "partial 16S ribosomal RNA". It matches the Rfam family "Bacterial small subunit ribosomal RNA", at positions 28 to 507 of the family's 1533-position model. The record is from RNAcentral.